Molecule: long non-coding RNA, 323 nt
Filed under: Homo sapiens (human)
Lineage: Eukaryota; Metazoa; Chordata; Mammalia; Primates; Hominidae
Description: HSALNT0012966
Source: RNAcentral
AGGGGCACUGAACAGUCAAAACAAUCUUGAAAAAGAAGAGCAAAGUUGAAUGACACACUACCUGAUUUCAAAAAUUGCAACAGAGCUACAGUAAUUAAAACAGUGUGGUACUGACAUAGUAUAGACUAAAGACCAAUGGAAUAGAAGAGCUUUGAAAAAAACAUUUACAUAUGGUGGGCAAUUGAUUUUUGACAAAAGUGCCAAGAAAAUUCAAUGGAGAAAGGAGAGUGUUUUCAAUAAAUGAUUCUGGGAAAAACUGAAUAUACACAUGCAAAAGAAUGAAGUUGAGGCUGGGUGCGGUGGCUCAUGCCUGUAAUCCCAGC